ACACUGACGUCGCGACGCAUAUCAAUAAGCGGAGGAAAAGAAACUAACAAGGAUUCCCUUAGUAACGGCGAGUGAAGCGGGAAGAGCUCAAAUUUGAAAUCUUCAAGGUUCUACCUUGACGAAUUGUAGUUUAAAGAAGUGUUUUCUGUUAGAUGAGUAGGCAAAAGUUCCUUGGAAUAGGACAUCAUAGAGGGUGAGAAUCCCGUAUUUGGUCAUUCCUUCUAGCUUUGUGAUACACUUUCAAAGAGUCGGAUUGUUUGGGAUGCAGUCCAAAAUGGGUGGUAAAUUUCAUCUAAAGCUAAAUAUUGGCGAGAGACCGAUAGCGAACAAGUACCGUGAGGGAAAGAUGAAAAGAACUUUGAAAAGAGAGUUAAACAGUACGUGAAAUUGUCAAAAGGGAAGCGUUUGACACCAGUGUUGUUUUUCCGAAAAUCAAUUACUAAUGUCUUGAUUUCUGAGGUUGUAUUGACCUUAUCAGGCUUUCCUUCAUCUUUUCACGAAGUCUUUCUGUAAUGCACUUUUCGGUUAACAAGUCAACAUCAAUUUCUUUUGUUGUAAAAGAGUAUUCGGAAGGUGGCUUUCUUUUCGGAGAAAGUGUUUAUAGCCCUAUACUUCUACAAUCGGAGAGAUUGAGGUCUGCAGCGUAGAUCCUUCGGGGUUAGAUACACUUGUGCUAAGUUGAUAGCUUUUCAUAGACAACUUGUUGACUAUGUUUAGUCAUUGUAGCUUACUCGCUUAUGCUAUUUUACCUACGCUUAGGAUGUUGAGUCGUAGAGCACGCAG
Molecule: ribosomal RNA, 783 nt
Filed under: uncultured Neocallimastigales
Lineage: Eukaryota; Fungi; Neocallimastigomycota; Neocallimastigomycetes; Neocallimastigales
Description: partial large subunit ribosomal RNA
Rfam family: Eukaryotic large subunit ribosomal RNA
Source: RNAcentral